ACCCGCUGAACUUAAGCAUAUCAAUAAGGCGGA
Molecule: ribosomal RNA, 33 nt
Filed under: Pochonia chlamydosporia
Lineage: Eukaryota; Fungi; Ascomycota; Sordariomycetes; Hypocreales; Clavicipitaceae
Description: partial 28S ribosomal RNA
Source: RNAcentral